UCUUUCGUUUAUUGCUUCACCUUUCCUGCUGCCACCUAGGAUGGCCGUUGCUUCCGCUACAUACAGUUCCCUGUUGUCGGCCGCUGUUCUGCGUAUUGCCGCGUCUUCCCAGUUAGUUUCAGCAUUGCAUUCAUGGGCUCUUCUGGCUGGGGCUGUGGUUUGCUUGCCUCCUCGAAUAUCCCUCCGGUGUUCAUCUGUUCUAGCCUUUAGGUUCCUGGCCGUCGCUCCUACAUGUGCCUCUUCCGUGUGUCGGUCGAGAUUUGCUAGAGGUAUUUCAUGCACCCCUGAUUGUUCGGCUGUGUCAUGUUUGU
RNAcentral lists this long non-coding RNA (311 nucleotides) under Androctonus crassicauda. Lineage: Eukaryota; Metazoa; Arthropoda; Arachnida; Scorpiones; Buthidae. The record is from RNAcentral.